Molecule: ribosomal RNA, 254 nt
Filed under: uncultured bacterium
Lineage: Bacteria
Description: partial 16S ribosomal RNA
Rfam family: Bacterial small subunit ribosomal RNA
Source: RNAcentral
GACGAACCGUGCGAACGUUAUUCGGAAUCACUGGGCUUAAAGCGCGUGUAGGCGGGCGGGGACGUCGGCCACUGCAAGCCCCCGGCUCAACCGGGGAAGGGGUGCCGAAACGGCCGGCCUGGAGGGGCGUAGGGGGACCUGGAACUUCCGGUGGAGCGGUGAAAUGCGUUGAGAUCGGAAGGAACGCCCGUGGCGAAAGCGAGGUCCUGGACGCCAACUGACGCUGAGACGCGAAAGCCAGGGGAGCGAACGGG